Molecule: unclassified non-coding RNA, 334 nt
Filed under: plant metagenome
Description: partial contains 5.8S ribosomal RNA, internal transcribed spacer 2, and large subunit ribosomal RNA
Rfam family: 5.8S ribosomal RNA (bases 1-105)
Source: RNAcentral
GAAAUGCGAUAAGUAAUGUGAAUUGCAGAAUUCAGUGAAUCAUCGAAUCUUUGAACGCACAUUGCGCCCGGCAGCAAUCUGCCGGGCAUGCCUGUCCGAGCGUCAUUUCUGCCCUCGAGCGCGGUUCGGCCCCUAGCGGGCCGGCCGCCACCCGGUGUUGGGGCGCUGCGGGCCCUCGUGCCCGCAGGCCCUGAAAUGAAGUGGCGGUCCCGCCGCGGCGCCCCCUGCGUAGUAGUAAAGCACCUCGCAUCGGGUCCCGGCGGAGGCCAGCCGUCGAACCUCUCUUUUGAUGGUUUGACCUCGGAUCAGGUAGGGUUACCCGCUGAACUUAAGC